RNAcentral lists this transfer RNA (72 nucleotides) under Venturia inaequalis. It matches the Rfam family "tRNA". From Rfam's summary of the family: Transfer RNA (tRNA) molecules are approximately 80 nucleotides in length. The record is from Rfam by way of RNAcentral. RNAcentral also lists the same sequence under 1 other name. Lineage: Eukaryota; Fungi; Ascomycota; Dothideomycetes; Venturiales; Venturiaceae.
GGGGGUAUAGUUUAACUGGUAAAACGGUGAUUUUGCAUAUCAUUAAUUUAGGAUCGAUUCCUAAUAUCUCCA